UUUUAAUAUUCCCUUCUCCACUAAAAAUGAGACAAGCCCGCGUAUAUCAAACAGAAAAGGCUAGAAAAAACGGUAGAAUUAAAUCUCAAUAGAAUAGCAGAUUAAUUCAGAGAUACAACGAAACGUCUGAUCUAUCCGUGGCGACGAGGACCCUGUGAUUCUAACAAUUCGUCGACUGCAAUGUGAGCCCUCUAGGAAGUCUUACAACAAAAAACAAGAAAUCGAUGAAUAUCUAGGUACAGAAAAUUGUUUAAUAAUGUGAAAAGGUCAUGCACGUAGGCGUUGUUCCGGAAGAAGUAGGAAGAAGCAAGCGGCGCAUCACUAGCAUCCAAGAACCCUGCUAACGGUCUAUGAAAUGCCUAGUGUGGAUCGAGGACCAGUCAGGCAGUAUACGGGCUAUUGCAUUAAAAAGGCUAGACGAGGUCCUGAAUACGAUCCUGGUUACGUUGCAUGCCCGCGUUAAACAAUUUAACUGCAGUUAUCAACGCAAGCUGUACAUACAAAUACAAACCACGAAACGAAGGCAGCUGGAAUCAAUCGAGUCCAACAAGUAGGUCGAUCUCCUACAGGGUGCUCGCCGAAUAGGAUAUGGACACUGUUACAAAGAUAAAGGCGACAGAAGGGAACAGGCAUAAUGAAAACUUGUUGCGCAGGAUCGGCCAAUUCCGGAUGAGCAGCCUUGCUUUUUCAAAAUACAUCGAGAUUUCGCAAGAUCGGCUAAUGGCUAGACAUAUUCGGUUAUCGUUGGUCUUCAGCGAAGUGAUCAGGUGUAUGUGAAAUUAUACCAAUAAUGGCCUUUUAAGCUGUCAGAUACCAGUCACCGGGACGCAGCUGAGAUGUUUGGAAGAAAAUGAGAUACAACAUAUAAAAUCACCGUGAAAGCCGUAGACAAACAGAAUGAUUCGUCGAAACGUUCAAGCGUGCCCUUGUUUGGAUACGAGAUAGAACGAACGUACUGCAUUACUAUACAGAUUGUCUCCGGUUGACAUGAAGUUUCAUAACAUCUUUAAAAAAAAGAGUUAAAUAUUUUCGUAGAAUUUGGAAAUCAAUAAACAAGAGCUCGAACAAAAAACUCGA
Varroa destructor (honeybee mite) is the source of this 1077-nucleotide long non-coding RNA. RefSeq lists it as uncharacterized. The record is from RefSeq and is a predicted model, not a curated record. Lineage: Eukaryota; Metazoa; Arthropoda; Arachnida; Mesostigmata; Varroidae.